This 524-nucleotide non-coding RNA is filed under the name Enterocytozoon bieneusi H348. RNAcentral's name for it is "Archaeal large subunit ribosomal RNA". It matches the Rfam family "Archaeal large subunit ribosomal RNA", at positions 2425 to 2987 of the family's 2987-position model. The record is from Rfam by way of RNAcentral. Lineage: Eukaryota; Fungi; Microsporidia; Enterocytozoonidae.
CAAAAGCUGCUUAGUAUUAAUGUAAAUUAUAAUACGGAAACAGGGGCCUAGAGAUCCUCUAUGAAACUAAGCAUAGAGGUGACGAAAAAGUAUCCACAGGAUAACUGGCUUGUGGCGGCCGAGCGUCCAUAGCGACGCCGCUUUUUGAAUCUUCGAUGUCGGCUUUUCCGAGCAUGGUGGAGUAUCAGCCACCAAGUGUGUGAUUGUUCACCAACUAACAGGGAACGUGAGCUGGGUUUAGACCGUCGCGAGACAGGUUAGUUUUACCCUACUGCAUCGCGUCCGAGAGUAGGUCGGGGCAGUACGAGAGGAAGUGCCGAUCAGAACCGCUGGUGAUACUUUCGUCUGUUAAGGCGCGAAGUGUAGCUACGUUCUUCUUAUAAUAGCUGAAAGCCUCUAAGCUAGAAUGAGUACUUAAGGACGCAAAGAUAUGAAGACUACAUAUGUAAGGAUGAGGGUUGUACGAUAUAAGCUUCUGCGAGUAUUUCAGACCACUUAUUUCCUUUUUUAGAACAUGCUUGCUC